GAUGAACGCUGGCGGCGUGCCUAAUACAUGCAAGUCGAGCGAACAGACGAGGAGCUUGCUCCUCUGACGCUACCGGCGGAGGGGUGAGUAACACGUGGAUAACCUACCUAUAAGACUUGGAUAACUUCGGGAAACCGGAGCUAAUACCGGUUAAGAUAUUUAAUCGCAUGGGUCAAUAGUGAAAGACGGAUUUGCUGUCACUUAUAGAUGGAUCCGCGUCGCAUUAGCUAGUUGGUAAGGUAACGGCUUACCAAGGCGACGAUGCGUAGCCGACCUGAGAGGGUGGUAGGCCACACUGGAUCUGAGACACGGUACAGACUACUACGGGAGGCAGCGGUGGAGAAUCUUCCGCUAUGGGCGGAAGCCUGACGGAACACCGCCGCGUGAGUGAUGAAGGUCUUCGGAUCGUAGUACUCUGUUAUUUGUGAAGAACAAAUGUGUAAGUGACGAUGCACGUCUUGACGGUACCUUAUCAGAAAGCCACGGCUAACUACGUG
This 497-nucleotide ribosomal RNA is filed under the name uncultured bacterium. RNAcentral's name for it is "partial 16S ribosomal RNA". It matches the Rfam family "Bacterial small subunit ribosomal RNA", at positions 28 to 507 of the family's 1533-position model. The record is from RNAcentral.